RNAcentral lists this unclassified non-coding RNA (220 nucleotides) under plant metagenome. RNAcentral's name for it is "partial contains small subunit ribosomal RNA, internal transcribed spacer 1, and 5.8S ribosomal RNA". The record is from RNAcentral.
UUUCCGUAGGUGAACCUGCGGAAGGAUCAUUACAGAGUUCAUGCCCUCACGGGUAGAUCUCCCACCCUUGAAUAUUUAUACCUUAGUUGCUUUGGCAGGCCGUGGAAACACCAUGGGCUCCGGCUUAUGCGUGCCUGCCAGAGGAAGCAAACUCUGUUUUUAGUGAUGUCUGAGUACUAUAUAAUAGUUAAAACUUUCAACAACGGAUCUCUUGGUUCAG